AAACGGAAAUUAAUACUCCAUAAUAUUCUAGUAUCGCAUGUUAUUAGAAUUAAAGCUUCGGUGGCUACGGAUGGGCAUAUGUCCCAUUAGCUUGUUGGUGAGGUAACUGCUCACCAAGGCUACGAUGGGUAGGGGGUCUGAGAGGAUGAUCCCCCACACUGGUACUGAGACACGGACCAGACUCCUACGGGAGGCAGCAGUGAGGAAUAUUGGUCAAUGGGCGAAAGCCUGAACCAGCCAUGCCGCGUGCAGGAUGACAGUCCUACGGAUUGUAAACUGCUUUUCUGCAAGAAGAAAUGUUCCGACGUGUCGGGAUUUGACGGUAUUGCAGGAAUAAGCAUCGGCUAACUCCGUGCCAGCAGCCGCGGUAAUACGGAGGAUGCAAGCGUUAUCCGGAUUCAUUGGGUUUAAAGGGUGCGUAGGCGGAUUAGAUAGUCAAAGGUGAAAGCCUGCAGCUUAACUGUAGAAGUGCCUUUGAUACUGCUAAUCUUGAGUACAGUUGAGGCGAGUGGAAUGUGUAGUGUAGCGGUGAAAUGCAUAGAUACUACACAGAACACCAAUUGCGAAGGCAGCUCGCUAAGCUGUUACUGACGCUCAGGCACGAAAGCGUGGGGAGCGAACAGGAUUAGAUACCCUGGUAGUCCACGCUGUAAACUAUGAUCACUAGCUGUUGGCGAUAAAUUGUCAGUGGCUCAGCGAAAGCGUUAAGUGAUCCACCUGGGGAGUACGAUCGCAAGGUUGAAACUCAAAGGAAUUGACGGGGGCCCGCACAAGCGGUGGAACAUGUGGUUUAAUUCGAUGAUACGCGAGGAACCUUACCUGGGCUUAAAUGUAGCGCGACGUCUCGAGAAAUCGGGAUUCCCUUCGGGGCGAACUACAAGGUGCUGCAUGGUUGUCGUCAGCUCGUGCCGUGAGGUAUCGGGUUAAGUCCCAUAACGAGCGCAACCCUUAUUGUUAGUUGCCAGCGGAUAAUGCCGGGGACUCUAACAAAACUGCCCGUGUAAACGGGAGGAAGGUGGGGAUGACGUCAAAUCAGCACGGCCCUUAUGUCCAGGACUACACACGUGUUA
This 1070-nucleotide ribosomal RNA is filed under the name uncultured organism. RNAcentral's name for it is "bacterial SSU rRNA". It matches the Rfam family "Bacterial small subunit ribosomal RNA", at positions 154 to 1227 of the family's 1533-position model. The record is from RNAcentral.